Molecule: ribosomal RNA, 442 nt
Filed under: uncultured bacterium
Lineage: Bacteria
Description: partial 16S ribosomal RNA
Rfam family: Bacterial small subunit ribosomal RNA
Source: RNAcentral
CCUACGGGAGGCAGCAGUGGGGAAUAUUGGGCAAUGGACUCAAGUCUUACCCAGCAACGCCGCGUGAAGGAAGAAGGCUUUCGGGUUGUAAACUUCUUUUAAGGUGGAAGAGCAGAAGACGGUACCCCUUGAAUAAGCCACGGCUAACUACGUGCCAGCAGCCGCGGUAAUACGUAGGUGGCAAGCGUUGUCCGGAUUUACGGGGUGUAAGGGGCGUGCAGCCGGGGAGACAAGUCAGUUGUGAAAUCCACGGGCUCAACCCGUGAACUGCAUUUGAAACUGUUUCCCUUGAGUUUCGGAGAGGUAAUCGGAAUUCCUUGUGUAGCGGUGAAAUGCGUAGAUAUAAGGAAGAACACCAGUGGCGAAGGCGGAUUACUGGACGAUAACUGACGGUGAGGCGCGAAAGCGUGGGGAGCAAACAGGAUUAGAUACCCUGGUAGUC